RNAcentral lists this ribosomal RNA (254 nucleotides) under uncultured bacterium. RNAcentral describes it as "partial 16S ribosomal RNA". It matches the Rfam family "Bacterial small subunit ribosomal RNA", at positions 524 to 776 of the family's 1533-position model. The record is from RNAcentral.
UACAGAGGGGGCAAGCGUUAUUCGGAAUUAUUGGGCGUAAAGGGCGCGUAGGCGGCUUGGCAAGUGGAUGGUGAAAUCCCUCGGCUUAACCGAGGAACUGCCGUCCAAACUGCUUAGCUUGAGACCGGGAGAGGUGAGUGGAAUUCCCAGUGUAGCGGUGAAAUGCGUAGAUAUUGGGAGGAACACCAGUGGCGAAGGCGGCUCACUGGACCGGUACUGACGCUGAGGCGCGAAAGCGUUGGGGAGCAAACGGG